Molecule: ribosomal RNA, 531 nt
Filed under: uncultured bacterium
Lineage: Bacteria
Description: bacterial SSU rRNA
Rfam family: Bacterial small subunit ribosomal RNA
Source: RNAcentral
AGAUAAUAGAUACCCUGGUAGUCCAUGCCGUAAACGAUGGAUGCUAGCUGUAUUCGGUAUCGACCCCGGAUGUAGCGAAGCUAACGCGUUAAGCAUCCCGCCUGUGGAGUACGGUCGCAAGACUAAAACAUAAAGGAAUUGACGGGGACCCGCACAAGCGGUGGAGCGUGUUGUUUAAUUCGAUGAUAAGCGAAGAACCUUACCCAGGCUUGACAUCCUUGGAAUUUCUCCGAAAGGAGAGAGUGCAUUUAGAACCAAGUGACAGGUGUUGCAUGGCCGUCGUCAGCUCGUGUCGUGAGAUGUUUGGUUAAGUCCAUCAACGAGCGCAACCCUUAUGAUUAGUUGGAUUUUUCUAGUCAGACUGCCCUGGCAACAGGGAGGAAGGAGGGGAUGAUGUCAGGUCAGUAUUACCCUUACGCCUGGGGCUACAAACACGCUACAAUGGCCGGUACAAAGGGCAGCCAAGUCGCAAGACGGAGCAAAUCCCAUCAAAGCCGGUCCCAGUUCGGAUAGCAGGCUGAAACUCGCCUG